This 91-nucleotide non-coding RNA is filed under the name Burkholderiales bacterium. Its description in RNAcentral is "c-di-GMP sequence". It matches the Rfam family "c-di-GMP-I riboswitch aptamer". From Rfam's summary of the family: GEMM was predicted in a large-scale screen for bacterial structured RNA regulatory elements. Lineage: Bacteria; Pseudomonadati; Pseudomonadota; Betaproteobacteria; Burkholderiales. The record is from RNAcentral.
UUCAAUUAUUGGCACACUCGCACGAAAGUCGAGGUCGCAAAGCCACCGGCCUAAGCCUCCCCCCUGGAGGCACGGCAGCGGGGUUGCCUUC